This is a non-coding RNA of Schistosoma rodhaini, 43 nucleotides long. The record is from Rfam. NCBI's taxonomy places the organism in Eukaryota, Metazoa, Platyhelminthes, Trematoda, Strigeidida, Schistosomatidae.
AUUCAACUGACGAGUCCCAAAUAGAACGAAACGCGUCCUGAAU